Molecule: long non-coding RNA, 700 nt
Organism: Oncorhynchus tshawytscha (Chinook salmon)
Lineage: Eukaryota; Metazoa; Chordata; Actinopteri; Salmoniformes; Salmonidae
Source: Ensembl
AGAACUACACUGUUAUAUCAGGGUGUUGUAACUAAGGCAGUUGGAGUAGACUUGGUAUCUAACCAGAACCAGAACUACACUGUUAUAUUAGUGUGUUGUAACUAAGGCAGUUGGAGUAGACUUGGUAUCUAACCAGAACUACACUGUUAUUAGGGGGUUGUAACCAAUGCAGUUGGAGUAGACUUGGUAUCUAACCAGAACUACACUGUUAUAUCAGGGUGUUGUAACUAAGGCAGUUGGAGUAGACUUGGUAUCUAACCAGAACUACACUGUUAUUAGGGGGUUGUAACCAAGGCAGUUGGAGUAGACUUGGUAUCUAACCAGAACUACACUGUUAUAUCAGGGUGUUGUAACUAAGGCAGUUGGAGUAGACUUGGUAUCUAACCAGAACUACACUGUUAUAUCAGGGUGUUGUAACUAAGGCAGUUGGAGUAGACUUGGUAUCUAACCAGAACUACACUGUUAUAUUAGGGUGUUGUAACUAAGGCAGUUGGAGCAGACUUGGUAUCUAACCAGAACCAGAACUACACUGUUAUAUUAGGGUGUUGUAACUAAGGCAGUUGGAGUAGACUUGGUAUCUAACCAGAACUACACUGUUAUAUUAGGGUGUUGUAACUAAGGCAGUUGGAGUAGACUUGGUAUCUAACCAGAACCAGAACUACACUGUUAUAUCAGGGGGUUGUAACCAAGGCAGUUGGAG